Molecule: non-coding RNA, 545 nt
Organism: Nicotiana tabacum (common tobacco)
Lineage: Eukaryota; Viridiplantae; Streptophyta; Magnoliopsida; Solanales; Solanaceae
Source: RefSeq, a predicted model, not a curated record
UGGAUUAACCUAUCUUGUUUCUUUUCUUCUUCUUUUUGAUCCCAUACAAAUAACAAUCUCGUCGCCGCCGCUGUCCCCGCCGUCCGCCGUCCGCCGUCCGCCGUCCGCCUUGGUGGGUUACUACCGGCGUUCAAUUUUUCUCUAAUUUGGUUAAGAUGGCUUCACUGGAAGAAAGUUUGCAGAGGUUCUAGAAGCAGCAGAAGAAGUGCCAAUCUACACUUAGAGUAUAGCUGCCAAAGCAGGACCUCCGAUGCCAACUCCGUCAAAAUAAUACAUUGCCAACUGCAACAGUGACAGCUAGUGCUAAACCUCCUGCCCCUGCCGUUUAAUUUUCAAAUGACUCAGAAAGGCUUCAACACAUACAUAGCAUAAGAAAAGCUCCCGUGGGGCCUCAGAUAAAACGUGUCAUAGACUUGCUGCUGGAGGUAUAUCCCUACCCUCGAUCUCCUAUUUGCUUUUAGCAAUUUCAUAUAUUUUUUUCCCUGAAUCGUCAUCUUUGUAAUGCCUUUUGCAGAGUUUUGUCAUUGUUUACCUUGUUUUGCUUA